This 557-nucleotide long non-coding RNA is filed under the name Mytilus galloprovincialis (Mediterranean mussel). The record is from RNAcentral. Lineage: Eukaryota; Metazoa; Mollusca; Bivalvia; Mytilida; Mytilidae.
CAUUGGAUUGUACUUUGUUUUUUUCUUACAAAUGCAAAAUCAAUGAAAGUGUAUAUGAUUUUCAACAUUCAUUAAUCCCUAAAUAAAAUCAAAAAAUUGAAAAAAUCCUUUGUAGGUAUUUCACCAAUGAAUCACAUUUUCAAAGAUUUUUUCAUGAACUGGUGAAUAUGUUACAAAUGAGCUGUGCCGGAUAGAAAUCAGCCUUAUGUAAUAAAUACCAAUAUAUCUAUUAAUCAUUUGAUGUUUUGUAAAAAAAUGUCUAUGCAAAGUCUGUAACUGUUUGAAAACUUAGUUCAUAUAAGUACCCAACAAACCAGAUCAAAAUUCAUCUUUUAUUUUGUAUUUGAAUGUUCCAAAAUCAAUUCGAAGUCUUACACAUGUAUAUAUGUACUUGCAUAAGAUCGAUUUAUAUCCGAUACAGAUCAAAUGAUGCUUUUGAUAAUUUGAAAGAAUGAGUAUGCUGUCUGUUAAUCAAUGAAUUUCAGUCUGAGUUUAACAAGAGUUUAUUAAUGGUUUAAAAGAAACGUUCUACAAUAAGAUUUUCAAAAUAAGAAAUC